GUGGGGAAUCUUGCGCAAUGGGCGAAAGCCUGACGCAGCCAUGCCGCGUGAAUGAUGAAGGUCUUAGGAUUGUAAAAUUCUUUCACCGGGGACGAUAAUGACGGUACCCGGAGAAGAAGCUCCGGCUAACUUCGUGCCAGCAGCCGCGGUAAUACGAAGGGGGCUAGCGUUGCUCGGAAUUACUGGGCGUAAAGGGCGCGUAGGCGGACAGCUUAGUCAGAGGUGAAAGCCCAGGGCUCAACCUUGGAAUUGCCUUUGAUACUGGCUGUCUUGAGUUUGGGAGAGGUGAGUGGAACUCCGAGUGUAGAGGUGAAAUUCGUAGAUAUUCGGAGGAACACCAGUGGCGAAGGCGGCUCACUGGUCCAUUACUGACGCUGAGGUGCGAAAGCGUGGGGAGCAAACAGGAUUAGAAACCCUAGUAGUCC
This 425-nucleotide ribosomal RNA is filed under the name uncultured bacterium. RNAcentral's name for it is "partial 16S ribosomal RNA". It matches the Rfam family "Bacterial small subunit ribosomal RNA", at positions 354 to 796 of the family's 1533-position model. The record is from RNAcentral.